RNAcentral lists this ribosomal RNA (995 nucleotides) under uncultured bacterium. RNAcentral's name for it is "bacterial SSU rRNA". It matches the Rfam family "Bacterial small subunit ribosomal RNA", at positions 355 to 1375 of the family's 1533-position model. The record is from RNAcentral.
UGGGGAAUAUUGCACAAUGGGGGAAACCCUGAUGCAGCGACGCCGCGUGGAGGAAGAAGGUCUUCGGAUUGUAAACUCCUGUUGUUGAGGAAGAUAAUGACGGUACUCAACAAGGAAGUGACGGCUAACUACGUGCCGGCAGCCGCGGUAAAACGUAGGUCACAAGCGUUGUCCGGAAUUACUGGGUGUAAAGGGAGCGCAGGCGGGAAGACAAGUUGGAAGUGAAAUCUAUGGGCUCAACCCAUAAACUGCUUUCAAAACUGUUUUUCUUGAGUAGUGCAGAGGUAGGCGGAAUUCCCGGUGUAGCGGUGGAAUGCGUAGAUAUCGGGAGGAACACCAGUGGCGAAGGCGGCCUACUGGGCACCAACUGACGCUGAGGCUCGAAAGUGUGGGUAGCAAACAGGAUUAGAUACCCUGGUAGUCCACACCGUAAACGAUGAUUACUAGGUGUUGGAGGAUUGACCCUUUCAGUGCCGCAGUUAACACAAUAAGUAAUCCACCUGGGGAGUACGACCGCAAGGUUGAAACUCAAAGGAAUUGACGGGGGCCCGCACAAGCAGUGGAGUAUGUGGUUUAAUUCGACGCAACGCGAAGAACCUUACCAAGUCUUGACAUCCUGCGACGCACAUAGAAAUAUGUGUUUCCUUCGGGACGCAGAGACAGGUGGUGCAUGGUUGUCGUCAGCUCGUGUCGUGAGAUGUUGGGUUAAGUCCCGCAACGAGCGCAACCCUUACUGUCAGUUACUACGCAAGAGGACUCUGGCAGGACUGCCGUUGACAAAACGGAGGAAGGUGGGGAUGACGUCAAAUCAUCAUGCCCUUUAUGACUUGGGCUACACACGUACUACAAUGGCGUUAAACAAAGAGAAGCAAGACCGCGAGGUGGAGCAAAACUCAGAAACAACGUCCCAGUUCGGACUGCAGGCUGCAACUCGCCUGCACGAAGUCGGAAUUGCUAGUAAUCGUGGAUCAGCAUGCCACGGUGAAUACGUUCCC